Oncorhynchus tshawytscha (Chinook salmon) is the source of this 1637-nucleotide long non-coding RNA. The record is from Ensembl. Lineage: Eukaryota; Metazoa; Chordata; Actinopteri; Salmoniformes; Salmonidae.
UUGAUAAUGUCUGACCCUGUCUAAAGACCCCAGCUCUCUGUGGGUGUUGAUAAUGUCUGACCCUGUCUAAAGACCCCAGCUCUCUGUGGGUGUUGAUAAUGUCUGACCCUGUCUAAAGCCCCAGCUCUCUGUGGGUGUUGAUAAUGUCUGACCCUGUCUAAAGACCCCAGCUCUCUGUGGGUGUUGAUAAUGUCUGACCCUGUCUAAAGACCCCAGCUCUCUGUGGGUGUGGAUAAUGUCUGGUCUGACCCUGUCUAAAGACCCCAGCUCUCUGUGGGUGUUGAUAAUGUCUGACCCUGUCUAAAGACCCCAGCUCUCUGUGGGUGUUGGGAUAUGUGUGAAACACCUGGACAAGUGUGAAACAGGACAAAUAACAGCAGCUACUAUAGUCACCAUCUAGUGAGUCUGACCUGAAAUAACCCCUGAACAUCUCAUGACUGUUUUAAUCAUGGCAGUUAUCUACAGUUUCUCUUUCCCUGUUUGGAAACAUGCAGAACCAGAUCAUCAUCGUCCCAUUGGAUAAUAAUGGACAUGUGGUAACAUGCAGAACUAGUUCAUCAUCGUUCCAUUGGAUAAUAAUGGACAUGUGGUAACAUGCAGAACUAGUUCAUCAUCGUCCCAUUGGAUAAUAAUGGACAUGUGGUAACAUGCAGAACUAGUUCAUCAUCGUUCCAUUGGAUAAUAAUGGACAUGUGGUAACAUGCAGAACUAGUUCAUCAUCGUUCCAUUGGAUAAUAAUGGACAUGUGGUAACAUGCAGAACUAGUUCAUCAUCGUUCCAUUGGAUAAUAAUGGACAUGUGGUAACAUGCAGAACUAGUUCAUCAUCGUCCCAUUGGACAACAAAGGACAUGUUGUAAAAAUAUAAGAUAUUUAUCUAAAGAGACAUCGGCACAUGUAGCAUGAGUCACAAAUGGCACCAUAUUCCGUUAAUCGUGCACUACUUUCUACCAGGCCCCUAGUGCACUACUUUCUACCAGGACCCUAGUGCACUACUUUCUACCAGGACCCUAGUGCACUACUUUCUACCAGGACCCUAGUGCACUACUUUCUACCAGGACCCUAGUGCACUACUUUCUACCAGGACCCUAGUGCACUAAUUUCUACCAGGCCCCUAGUGCACUACUUUAACCAGGACCCUAGUGCACUACUUUCUACCAGGCCCCUAGUGCACUACUUUAACCAGGACCCUAGUGCACUACUUUCUACCAGGCCCCUAGUGCACUACUUUAACCAGGACCCUAGUGCACUACUUUCUACCAGGCCCCUAGUGCACUACUUUAACCAGGCCCCUAGUGCACUACUUUCUACCAGGCCCCUAGUGCACUACUUUAACCAGGGCCCUAGUGCACUACUUUCUACCAGGACCCUAGUGCACUACUUUCUACCAGGACCCUAGUGCACUACUUUCUACCAGGACCCUAGUGCACUACUUUCUACCAGGACCCUAGUGCACUACUUUCUACCAGGACCCUAGUGCACUACUUUCUACCAGGACCCUAGUGCACUACUUUCUACCAGGCCCCUAGUGCACUACUUUAACCAGGACCCUUGUGCACUACUAAAUAUAAGAUAUUUAUAAGAUAUUUAUCUAAAGAGACAUCGGCACAUGUAGCAUGAGUCACAAAUGGCACCCUAC